Molecule: ribosomal RNA, 588 nt
Filed under: uncultured bacterium
Lineage: Bacteria
Description: partial 16S ribosomal RNA
Rfam family: Bacterial small subunit ribosomal RNA
Source: RNAcentral
UGGGGAAUUUUGGACAAUGGGCGCAAGCCUGAUCCAGCCAUGCCGCGUGCGGGAAGAAGGCCUUCGGGUUGUAAACCGCUUUUGUCAGGGAAGAAAUCUUCUGAGUUAAUACCUCGGGAGGAUGACGGUACCUGAAGAAUAAGCACCGGCUAACUACGUGCCAGCAGCCGCGGUAAUACGUAGGGUGCAAGCGUUAAUCGGAAUUACUGGGCGUAAAGCGUGCGCAGGCGGUUUUGUAAGACAGAGGUGAAAUCCCCGGGCUCAACCUGGGAACUGCCUUUGUGACUGCAAGGCUUGAGUGCGGCAGAGGGGGAUGGAAUUCCGCGUGUAGCAGUGAAAUGCGUAGAUAUGCGGAGGAACACCGAUGGCGAAGGCAAUCCCCGUGGGCCUGCACUGACGCUCAUGCACGAAAGCGUGGGGAGCAAACAGGAUUAGAUACCCUGGUAGUCCACGCCCUAAACGAUGUCAACUGGUUGUUGGGAAGGUUCCUUCUCAGUAACGUAGCUAACGCGUGAAGUUGACCGCCCGGGGGAGUACGGCCGCAAGGUUGAAACUCAAAUGAAUUGACGGGGUCAUAGCUGUUUCCUG